Odocoileus virginianus texanus is the source of this 916-nucleotide non-coding RNA. The record is from RefSeq and is a predicted model, not a curated record. Lineage: Eukaryota; Metazoa; Chordata; Mammalia; Artiodactyla; Cervidae.
CUGGUCUCCCGCAUCGCGGGCGGAUUCUUUACCAUCUGAGCUACCGUCCCAGCCUGUUCCAGCCCAUCCCCCUUCUGGACUGUGAAGUGGAUUCUCUGCCCCUUCAAGUUCUGACCCUGUUUUUCCCGCUUAAUACCCGACUCAGGACAAAUCAGAAGCUCCCCAUGGCUUCCAACCCCGAUCUCUCCAGGCAAACCAGGCUCCACCCAGGGCCUCGGGGCCCUGGGCUCCACCUGGCGGCCUGGCCCGCUCCCUCCGGUCCUGGGCCCUGUAAACACGCACUCCUCCUGCUUCGGAAGAUUCAGGUCAAGCCACAUCUCCUUAUCCAGGACCCUCCCUGCUCUUGGCUGCAAAGGUGGCUCAAAGGCCCCACACUCGCUCCCCCAACCGCUGCAAUCUGGAAGAAAUUACUCUUUCCAAACAGCCAGACUUCCCCACUUGCAGGAAAUUCCAGGCUGGCAGGGGAGGGGCCGGGCUGGGGGGCCGCCCAGUCCAUCCAAUCCCCCACCCCCUCCGCGGUCCUUCCCCGCGCACAUCCAGUCCCGGCCACUUCCCGCCCCCACACUCAGCCUGGCGGGGCCUCCGCUUUCCCGCCGCGGCUUCUUAGUCCUUAAAUCCUAGAGGCCAACUUUUUUUUGGGGGGUGGGGGGCAGGGGGGAAUAAGGGAGGCCUGGGAGGGGCCUACUGCCUUAACCCUCUCGGCCCCAGACAGGCCGAGCUGGACUGGGCGGGGAUUCUGCGCCCCUCUGGGCUCCCAUCAUGGCCCCCGAGAGGGGCUGACGCUUCCGUUCCCGGUGCAGGUGAGAUCCCGCCCGGAGGAAGGCGGAGGGAGGCGCAGGCCUGGGACCAGGAGGCGGAGGCGGGCCCCGAACCGAGAGGAGCGGGUCCCGGGCGGUGCAGGAGCCUGAGAGCGCGC